RNAcentral lists this ribosomal RNA (392 nucleotides) under uncultured bacterium. Its description in RNAcentral is "bacterial SSU rRNA". It matches the Rfam family "Bacterial small subunit ribosomal RNA", at positions 30 to 418 of the family's 1533-position model. The record is from RNAcentral.
AUUGAACGCUGGCGGCAGGCCUAACACAUGCAAGUCGAACGGUAGCACAGAGAGCUUGCUCUUGGGUGACGAGUGGCGGACGGGUGAGUAAUGUCUGGGAAACUGCCUGAUGGAGGGGGAUAACUACUGGAAACGGUAGCUAAUACCGCAUAACGUCGCAAGACCAAAGAGGGGGGACCUUCGGGCCUCUUGCCAUCAGAUGUGCCAGAUGGGAUUAGCUAGUAGGUGGGGUAACGGCUCACCUAGGCGACGAUCCCUAGCUGGUCUGAGAGGAUGACCAGCCACACUGGAACUGAGACACGGUCCAGACUCCUACGGGAGGCAGCAGUGGGGAAUAUUGCACAAUGGGCGCAAGCCUGAUGCAGCCAUGCCGCGUGUAUGAAGAAGGCCUU